AGGAUCAGAUACAGCAGAGGGAGAAAGACUUGCCCGGCUGGUGCUGGCCUUGAAGGUGGAAGGCGCUGUGACCUAAGGAAUGUGGGUGGCCUCUAGGAGCUGGAAAAGGCAAGACGUGGAUUCUCUCCUGGAGCUUCCAGAAGGGCUCCCAGGCCUGCCGACACCUUGAUAUUAGCCCAGCGAGACCCUUUUCAGACUUCUGACCUCCAGAGUUGUGAGAUAAAUCUGUGUUGUUUUAAGCCAUUAAGCUUGUGGUAACUUGUUACAGCACCAAUAGGAAACUAAUACACUACUCGGAAGAAAAGAACUUUGCUCAACCUCUUUUGCUUCCAAGAGUGGCUGUGAUUGAGUUUUGGGGGUAGGUGGAGCGGUUGCAGGCCCAGCUCCCUUCCCUUCUUCAUCUUGUCCAUCCUGCUAUCUAGACGUGGAUGCUGUUUGGACCACAGGCUGAGGCCACGCCCUACAGAAGCUGGAGGAACGAGCUGGAGGGAGCAGAGCCACAGAAGAGCCUUGGAAUUUCUGCCUUCACGUUUUGACUUGAGCUCUGAGACUUACAACUUAUGAUGCAGACUGAACAAAUGUUUAUUGAGUGGCUUAAUGUGUGUGAAUCCUGUGCUAGACGUGUUCCCAUACAUAUAAUCUCUGAUUUAAUAUUUUCAAUGACCCUCGAUUUUCCACGCGAGGGGGCUGAGGCUUGGAGGUGUGAAGUGACUUGACUGAGCUGGUAUUUGUAAUAAGUGGUAAAAACUGCGAUUUCAGCCCAGGUGUUCUCAAUAAGGGGCAAAGCUGAGAUUUGUGACCCCGUGGCUGGAGCCAGGUGUAGCUUAUCGAUGGUGCCGGCCUGGGAUCCUUGAAGCGGACUUGAGAUGAAGCAACAAGAGGCAGGCCCUGAUGAAGACGCCUCCAGGUUAUAAAGGAAGGCCCUUUCUCUUCUGAAAAGUUGUCUGCAGCAAGGACUGGUCAUUAUGCCUAUCCUGGGCGCUAACUGGGGACCCCAGGCCACCUGUUGUGUGUAUCUUUGUGGAAAAUAAUUCUGCCCAAGGCAGGGUAACUCUGAGAACUGAGACACGUGAAUAGUUCCCAGCUGAUGGAACAGCUGAAGCAGUCAAGCCUCCCAGGCCUUGGUUACAGCAACACAGCGCAUAACACGCCAGCGUGACUCCAACUGCCCCGGGGAGUCAGCAGGUUGAUAUUUUCCACCCAACACUUUGACUGCCCAGGCGUCGAUCUUACUAGCACGAGAGUAACUGCUUUGGUUUACUUUAAGAAUUAAAGAAAGACAACCAUGAUCACACCUGAUCGCCCUCUGAAAACAGUGUCUGUUCUUUGAGCUAAAGCAUGGAGUACCUAAUUAAAUUGCAGUCAAGAGAAGGUAUCUGGUUAGGUGAGAGGACUGGUGGAUGGAAAAUUAUGUCUCAGAUUCAUAGGAUGACAGAACUGGGAGGAGCCCUGGAGAUCAUCUGGGUCCUCAGCUUACAGAGGAGGAAACUGAGGCUCUGAGGUCACCCAAGGUCACAUAGCCGCCAACUGGUAAUUCUGGACUUCAAACUCAAGUCUCGUUCUUGGGCAGUUUUCUUUAAUCUACAACAUCCUGCUGUCUUGAAUACCAUUUUGGCUGCAUCAUUCAUGCUGUGUGACCUUACACAAGUAUUUAACCUCUCUGAUCUUUGCUCAUCUGUAAAAUACAGGCAAUCAUAGUUACCUACCUCACGGAGUGAUGGUAAGGAGUAAGUGAGAUUGUAUCUGUAAAGUGCUUUCCAAAG
Molecule: long non-coding RNA, 1763 nt
Organism: Equus caballus (horse)
Lineage: Eukaryota; Metazoa; Chordata; Mammalia; Perissodactyla; Equidae
Source: Ensembl